Molecule: ribosomal RNA, 468 nt
Filed under: uncultured bacterium
Lineage: Bacteria
Description: partial 16S ribosomal RNA
Rfam family: Bacterial small subunit ribosomal RNA
Source: RNAcentral
GACGAACGCUGGCGGCGUGCCUAACACAUGCAAGUCGAACGGAAAGGCCCGGCUUUUGGGGGGUGCUCGAGUGGCGAAGGGGGGAGUAACACGUGAGUAACCUGUACCUGACUGUGGGGGGACUUAAGGAAACUGGGGCUAAUACCGGAUAGGAGCUCUUGCUGCAGGGUGGGGGUUGGAAAGAUUCGGCGGUUGGGGGUGGACUCGCGGCUUAUCAGCUUGUUGGUGGGGUAGUGGAUUACCAAGGCCUUGACGGGUAGCCGGCCUGAGCGGGUGAGCGGCCCCACCACGCCUGGGCUACGACCCAGCCUCCACCGGUACGCAACGGUGCAGAGUAUUACACAGGAGGAGGGAGCCUGGUGUGAUCCAGCCGCGCGCGGGAAGUCGUGCUUCGGGUAGUAAACUAAUUUCGCCUUUGCCGAGGCGUGAGUGACGGUACCGGGUAAAGAAGCACCGGCUAACUACGUG